This 908-nucleotide ribosomal RNA is filed under the name uncultured Bacillus sp. Its description in RNAcentral is "bacterial SSU rRNA". It matches the Rfam family "Bacterial small subunit ribosomal RNA", at positions 153 to 1047 of the family's 1533-position model. Lineage: Bacteria; Bacillati; Bacillota; Bacilli; Caryophanales; Bacillaceae. The record is from RNAcentral.
GAAACCGGAGCUAAUACCGGAUAGUUCCCUGAACCGCAUGGUUCAAGGAUGAAAGACGGUUUCGGCUGUCACUUACAGAUGGACCCGCGGCGCAUAGCUAGUUGGUGGGGUAAUGGCUCACCAAGGCGACGAUGCGUAGCCGACCUGAGAGGGUGAUCGGCCACACUGGGACUGAGACACGGCCCAGACUCCUACGGGAGGCAGCAGUAGGGAAUCUUCCGCAAUGGACGAAAGUCUGACGGAGCAACGCCGCGUGAGUGAUGAAGGUUUUCGGAUCGUAAAGCUCUGUUGUUAGGGAAGAACAAGUGCGAGAGUAACUGCUCGCACCUUGACGGUACCUAACCAGAAAGCCACGGCUAACUACGUGCCAGCAGCCGCGGUAAUACGUAGGUGGCAAGCGUUGUCCGGAAUUAUUGGGCGUAAAGGGCUCGCAGGCGGUUUCUUAAGUCUGAUGUGAAAGCCCCCGGCUCAACCGGGGAGGGUCAUUGGAAACUGGGAAACUUGAGUGCAGAAGAGGAGAGUGGAAUUCCACGUGUAGCGGUGAAAUGCGUAGAGAUGUGGAGGAACACCAGUGGCGAAGGCGACUCUCUGGUCUGUAACUGACGCUGAGGAGCGAAAGCGUGGGGAGCGAACAGGAUUAGAUACCCUGGUAGUCCACGCCGUAAACGAUGAGUGCUAAGUGUUAGGGGGUUUCCGCCCCUUAGUGCUGCAGCUAACGCAUUAAGCACUCCGCCUGGGGAGUACGGUCGCAAGACUGAAACUCAAAGGAAUUGACGGGGGCCCGCACAAGCGGUGGAGCAUGUGGUUUAAUUCGAAGCAACGCGAAGAACCUUACCAGGUCUUGACAUCCUCUGACAACCCUAGAGAUAGGGCUUUCCCUUCGGGGACAGAGUGACAGGUGGUGCAUG